Sus scrofa (pig) is the source of this 1092-nucleotide long non-coding RNA. RefSeq lists it as uncharacterized. The record is from RefSeq and is a predicted model, not a curated record. Lineage: Eukaryota; Metazoa; Chordata; Mammalia; Artiodactyla; Suidae.
UACAUAAAGUCCAGUACCUUCCAGAGUAAACCAUCUCACUCUGAUUCACUUAAGCGAUUUAAAUACACUUAUGAGAAGCUGAAGCCCCCCUUUCUGGAGGAGGUGGAAAUCAGCGGAUGGAUACAGCAAAGUGAAAAGUGAAGAAAACACUGAAUUUCCUCAGAAGGCACUGGGGAACCAGUGAAGAUUUUUGAGGACAGAAAUGACCUGCCUGGAACUGUAUUUUAAGAAAGUAACAGGGGAGCUUCCUUUGUGGCUCAGAGGUAACAAACCUGACUAGUACGAGGAUGAGGAUUUAAUCCCUGGCCCCACUCAGUGGGUUAAGGAUCCAGCGUUGCCAUUGCCGUGAGCUGUGGUGUAGGUCACAGACACAGCUUAGAUCCGAAUUCCUGCGGCUGAGAAGUAAGCCAGCAGCUGCAACUCUGAUUGGAUUCCUCUCCUGGGAACUUCCACACGCCGCAUAUGCGGCCCUAAGAAGAAAAAAAAAGUGGGGGUGGGUAACAGAGGCAGCAGUGUGGUGAUUAAACUGGCAGCUAAGCCUGGAAAGGGAACCUAGCCAAGAGUGAAUGAGGCCCUGAAAAGUCCGAAAAAAAUUGGCAAGGAUGAUUUGGUACGUAUCAUGGAAGUAGAACCAAAAGAACACAAAAUUGCUUAAAUGUUGAGCAUGGGAAAGAGAAAAGCCAGAAGGUUAAAGAAAAGGUGAUGGGACAAAGGUUAUUAUCCACCAAUAUUCUCCUCAUCCCUGGAAUCCAAGAGCUUAACUUACCAAAAAAUAUAUUUAAGGGAGAAGCAAAUACCUCUCAACAUGAAUUACCCCAGAGACUUUAUAUUGGUUAAUGGGAGCAACGACAACUCUAACCAGAAAAGAAAUUAUCCUAGGUUUACUUCUUACAAGUAGGAAAUCCCAGUAAACACAACCUGUUGAAACUCAGCAAGGGAGUAAAUUGAUAAGAAACAAAUCUACAGGAGCUUGCAUUCCCAAUUUUCACUCUAAACAUACUGGAGCAUUAACAUUUAAGCCUUUAAAUGCUUACUUUCAUAGUUAACGUGGAAGAAUUUCAAGAAUCCUAAAGGCCAACAAUUCUGAAAAAA